Molecule: transfer RNA, 53 nt
Filed under: Neomysis japonica
Lineage: Eukaryota; Metazoa; Arthropoda; Malacostraca; Mysida; Mysidae
Description: tRNA-Val
Source: RNAcentral
UAAGAUGAAUAAAAUUUACUUACUAUAAAUUAUUCUUUCUAUAAGCAUCUUAA